UUCAAUUCUGCCUUUUCUUGUUAGACUUAUGUUUCCAUGGUACUGGAAUACAGAAUUAAGGAGAGGAGGUGGGGCCCCCAAUCCACUAGUUUGCCAAAGUGUGGUUUUGAUCAUCCAGACAUCGGUGUGUCUCUGUAGCUUUCAUCCGUCUAUGUAAGGAAUGGAGCACAUGGAGUUGUUUCCUUACUCUAGCUAACCCCAGCUCUGGGGAUAUUUCCUCAACUUCAUCCUGUUUGGUGCAUCCUGUUUGGUGCCUGAUUUGGACUCUGAGUUCUGUAACCCCAGCAAAUAACUCGGAGCCCUAUAACCCCCACAUCUCCUGAUAAAGAGUAAAUUUAAUAACUUGGUGGAGGAAAUAUCUACGAGAUGGAAAAGGUAGCGAAAUAUGGGGUUGUACCAAGUUUUCGAUUUAUGUCCUAUACCUGACCCCUAUGAGCAUCAACAAUCCGAAGAACGGGGUCCCACUCUCCCAUUGAUGGAGCAGCAGGCUGAACAUGCACACUUCCACUCAACCCAUUUCCUAUGGGACUGCUGGAACUAGCUAACUAGAACCUAUUUCUAAGACACCCCUCCAUGGUGGAAGGUUCCUUAAAUUCCCUGUGGUGGCCAGCCAUAUGCUGGAGAAAGGGAGAAGCUGGCAAAUCCUGAGAGAGGAGGCUUGACAAGGAGUUCUCAGGCACCCGAGCCGUGGCAAGCCGAAGCUUGAUAGCAAAGAUUAUUUGAUGACUAUAUAUAAAAAACUGAAGAAGGAAGACUGGGAUCCAGAAUGAAAUCAUACAGGAGUAUACAGCUACCUGUCCAUAUUAUAGACCAGUUGUGUUACAGCCUAUUGGACAAAAUCAUUUAUUGUAAAAAGAAGAAUAUUUAUUUAUGAAUAUAAUUGUUUCUGCCUUCAAGUCUAUUCUUGUAAUUGCCAAGCAUACUGGGUCAUCAAGUGAAGUGUUGUAAACAUCAAGCUAACUAUGUAAGGAAAUCUGCAAGGAACCACAGCUAGCAAACUCAGAAACUACUACCCGUCUUCCUUAAUCACUACAGUGAAUGAAGCUAAGGCUACCCUUAGAUUCUUCAGCAAAGCCUGACACAAGGCUAGGUGGACUUGGCUGUAGAGACUCAGGUUACAGCUGCAGAGUAAGGUAGCAGAAAACGGAUGUAUGCUCGCUAGAAGCAGGGCUAUCAGAAGGACCAAGGGGCAAAGAAUAGUAGACAAGCAGGUCAGAACCAGGAGAGAUGGAUAAAACCAAAACAGCAGACAAGGGGUUAAUCCAGAAAACAAGCCAAGUUAAAUCCACAGAGGGAUACCAAGCAAGUCUUAAGUUCAAGUACAAACACAGAGUUACAAACAGAGCCAUGACACUUCACACCAUCACAGGCAAUAGCCAUUACCGAGUAGCAGUCUUAAUUCCCCCACCUAGCUCUGGGAUUGGAUGCUGAGCCAGAAGCCUGAUUAGCUCUUCUUCCAGGCUCAAUUAUAGGUCAAUGAUGGCUGGGGUUUAACAGGCCACCAUGGUAACCCUCCCAGAACAGCCACCAACAAUAGCUUGGCUAGGUAAACUCAUAAACUUGUCUUUACCUUGAAUCAUGCAAGCCGCUUCCGUGAAGAAAAUGUUUCUGGUUUAGCACAAUUGCACCAUCAAUGAUCUAUUAAAUGGGAUUCCCCCUUACAAAUGGCAUCACAAACAGGACGAGUUUCCAUGGCCCCAUCCCUGAAACAUUCAUGAACAUGUCCACUUGUCCUCAUGAUGGUGUUCCAGGAAAUCAAUAAAUAUAUUAUGGACUUGUUGAGAGAGAUUUCUAGGGAGAAUGUCCAGCUAAAAAGGGCCAACACAAACAAUGGAAGCAGUAAAUGGAAAGGAAAAUCUGUAAUUACAGUGUUCGCCGCUGCAAGGUCGACGGGGAGCAGGUAAAUAACAAAGAGAAUGCAGUGCUCUCACAAGCUCUGUGGUCUCUUCAAACUGCUGAUCACUGGUGAUGCUGGGAGUCAAACCGCGGCCGAUCUGAUAGUUAUGACUUAUCCUGAGA
Long non-coding RNA from Bufo gargarizans (Asiatic toad), 2019 nucleotides. RefSeq lists it as uncharacterized. Lineage: Eukaryota; Metazoa; Chordata; Amphibia; Anura; Bufonidae. The transcript is spliced from 4 exons. The record is from RefSeq and is a predicted model, not a curated record.